UGUCCGAGCCGUGGCUGAUAGGAGCUGCAGUACAGGCAUUAGCAAGUACAGUCGAUCCCUUGAGCCACAGCCUUACGUAUUAAUUUAGCUUGGACGGGUAGCACAAGGAGAGUUACUAAGAAAUUCGAGCGACUAUGGAAAUAACUGUCAGAGAUCUGUAUUCUCCUCUGGCAGCUAUCGUUAUUGGCUCGCAGUUCUAGUUCUCUGUCAGUUAUCGGGCUACCACCACAGAUAACCUGGAAGUUGGUAAUGGAAUAACUGUGUGUCUAGAUGUUCCUGACUCAGUGACUCCAGUUAAAGGUCGUAGAUCUCGGUGAUAUUUCCAGAGAGGAUAGUAACUGGAGCGAACAAAUAUUUUCGUACUGCUACGGAAAUGACGAUUGGCCAUCGGGGAGAGGGGAAUCUAUUGUCUCAUUUCUCUGCAAAUCUUGGUGUUCAGGUGUCACUCUCUUUUCGGCCUUUGGUUGCGUUAGAGGGUAUUGACUUCCGUUCUCGUUCUUGUUUUUCUUUGUGUUGUUGCUAUUGCAAACCAAUAGUUGCCAACAUGAAGAGGUCGAGGACAAGCGAAAUGUGGUCAUAUUUCGAAACUCUUGAUCGAGAGUUUGCGAAAUGUACUUAGUACGGUAAGAAAUUAUCGUACAAAUCGACGACGUCGAAUUUAAAAAAAAACAUAUUCAGAAAUCACAUUUAAUUGUGAAUUUCUCUUUACAAAGGCCUUCGGAGCUAGAUUUGGGAUUAAAGAAGAAACAUGAAGCUAUAGUCAUUACUAAAACUGAGUCAAUUGUCAACUUGUAUGAAGUAAAUAUUCAAUCUGCAAGUAUCAUGAAGACUACUUUACGCGAACAUUGUAAUAUAUAUCAUCAAAAAUAAUAUGGCAUCAUUUCUGUUGUGCUUAUGCUGAUAUGAAACCUAUUUUUCUGUAGGUGAAACCCUUCCUGUAGAGGUGAUCCUUGGCACCAGCAGUGUGGAAGAGGAGCGAGCUGCUCCAGCCCCCUCAAUGCAGCAAGGUGUUCAAAGUUCUAUGACAUUGUAUCUUACCAAAAGGAUUGGAGUGAAUCAGAAAAAGAUAGAUGGGCAACUUCAGCUGUUCACUAAAGACUUCCAACCAUUUUCAGUCGUUGAAGAUUCGGGGUUUUGUGCGGGCCCUUAAUCCUGGUUAUGAGUUACCAAGCAGGAAGCAUAUUUCAGAUGUAAUGCUGCAAGCAGCAUACACAGCAGCAAAGGAGAAAGUGGUAGACAAACUGUCAGCUGCGAAGACAGUUUGUUUGACCACAGAUUGCUGGACAUCGGCAGCAAAUGAGUUAAAUGGUGGUGACAGGG
Molecule: RNA transcript, 1320 nt
Organism: Schistocerca gregaria
Lineage: Eukaryota; Metazoa; Arthropoda; Insecta; Orthoptera; Acrididae
Exons: 2
Source: RefSeq, a predicted model, not a curated record